RNAcentral lists this ribosomal RNA (1359 nucleotides) under uncultured bacterium. RNAcentral describes it as "bacterial SSU rRNA". It matches the Rfam family "Bacterial small subunit ribosomal RNA", at positions 28 to 1381 of the family's 1533-position model. The record is from RNAcentral.
GAUGAACGCUAGCUACAGGCUUAACACAUGCAAGUCGAGGGGCAGCAUUUCAGUUUGCUUGCAAACUGGAGAUGGCGACCGGCGCACGGGUGAGUAACACGUAUCCAACCUGCCGAUAACUCGGGGAUAGCCUUUCGAAAGAAAGAUUAAUACCCGAUGGUAUAAUCAGACCGCAUGGUCUUGUUAUUAAAGAAUUUCGGUUAUCGAUGGGGAUGCGUUCCAUUAGGCAGUUGGUGAGGUAACGGCUCACCAAACCUUCGAUGGAUAGGGGUUCUGAGAGGAAGGUCCCCCACAUUGGAACUGAGACACGGUCCAAACUCCUACGGGAGGCAGCAGUGAGGAAUAUUGGUCAAUGGGCGCAGGCCUGAACCAGCCAAGUAGCGUGAAGGAUGACUGCCCUAUGGGUUGUAAACUUCUUUUAUAUGGGAAUAAAGUUUUCCACGUGUGGAAUUUUGUAUGUACCAUAUGAAUAAGGAUCGGCUAACUCCGUGCCAGCAGCCGCGGUAAUACGGAGGAUCCGAGCGUUAUCCGGAUUUAUUGGGUUUAAAGGGAGCGCAGGUGGACAGUUAAGUCAGUUGUGAAAGUUUGCGGCUCAACCGUAAAAUUGCAGUUGAUACUGGCUGUCUUGAGUACAGUAGAGGUGGGCGGAAUUCGUGGUGUAGCGGUGAAAUGCUUAGAUAUCACGAAGAACUCCGAUUGCGAAGGCAGCUCACUGGACUGCAACUGACACUGAUGCUCAAAAGUGUGGGUAUCAAACAGGAUUAGAUACCCUGGUAGUCCACACAGUAAACGAUGAAUACUCGCUGUUUGCGAUAUACAGUAAGCGGCCAAGCGAAAGCAUUAAGUAUUCCACCUGGGGAGUACGCCGGCAACGGUGAAACUCAAAGGAAUUGACGGGGGCCCGCACAAGCGGAGGAACAUGUGGUUUAAUUCGAUGAUACGCGAGGAACCUUACCCGGGCUUAAAUUGCAUUUGAAUAUAUUGGAAACAGUAUAGCCGUAAGGCAAAUGUGAAGGUGCUGCAUGGUUGUCGUCAGCUCGUGCCGUGAGGUGUCGGCUUAAGUGCCAUAACGAGCGCAACCCUUAUCUUUAGUUACUAACAGGUCAUGCUGAGGACUCUAGAGAGACUGCCGUCGUAAGAUGUGAGGAAGGUGGGGAUGACGUCAAAUCAGCACGGCCCUUACGUCCGGGGCUACACACGUGUUACAAUGGGGGGUACAGAAGGCAGCUACCUGGUGACAGGAUGCUAAUCCCAAAAGCCUCUCUCAGUUCGGAUCGAAGUCUGCAACCCGACUUCGUGAAGCUGGAUUCGCUAGUAAUCGCGCAUCAGCCAUGGCGCGGUGAAUACGUUCCCGGGCCU